This 774-nucleotide ribosomal RNA is filed under the name uncultured Neocallimastigales. RNAcentral's name for it is "partial large subunit ribosomal RNA". It matches the Rfam family "Eukaryotic large subunit ribosomal RNA", at positions 23 to 633 of the family's 3401-position model. Lineage: Eukaryota; Fungi; Neocallimastigomycota; Neocallimastigomycetes; Neocallimastigales. The record is from RNAcentral.
AGAGAGAGACAUGCGCGCAUAUCAAUAAGCGGAGGAAAAGAAACUAACAAGGAUUCCCCUAGUAACGGCGAGUGAAGCGGGAAGAGCUCAAAUUUGAAAUCUUCAAGGUUCUACCUUGACGAAUUGUAGUUUAAAGAAGUGUUUUCUGUUGGAGUUUUGGUAAAAGUUCUUUGGAAUAGGACAUCAUAGAGGGUGAGAAUCCCGUAUUUGACCUUUACUUUCAACUUUGUGAUACACUUUCAAAGAGUCGGAUUGUUUGGGAAUGCAGUCCAAAAUGGGUGGUAAAUUUCAUCUAAAGCUAAAUAUUGGCGAGAGACCGAUAGCGAACAAGUACCGUGAGGGAAAGAUGAAAAGAACUUUGAAAAGAGAGUUAAACAGUACGUGAAAUUGUCAAAAGGGAAGCGUUUGACACCAGUGUUGUUUUUCUGAAAAUCAAUUAAAGAACUGUUUAUGCUAAGCUGUUUAGACUUUAUCAGCUAACUGUUUAGUUUUGAGCUUUUCUUUAAUGCACUUUUCAGUUAACAAGUCAACAUCAAUUUCUUUUGCUGUAAAAAAGCUUGAGGAAGGUGGCUUGAGAUUCGUCUUAAGUGUUGAUAGCCUCUUGCCUAUGCAGUCGGAGAGAUUGAGGUCUGCAGCGUAGAUCCUUCGGGGCUAAAUGCAUUUGUGCUAAGUUAUAGCAUUUUAUAGACAACUUGUUGACUAUGAUUUGUCUUGUAGCUUACUCGCUUAUGUUAUUUUACCUACGCUUAGGAUGUUGAAGACUCUACAGAGAUA